GUAGACCAGAAGUUACAAGAAUUCUUAAGUCUGAAACAGGGGAACAGAUCAGUGGCUGAGUAUGAAAGGGAAUUCUCCCGCCUAAGCCAUUAUGCAGUAAGUCUACUUUCUACCAGUAGGGAGAGAUGUAAGAGGUUUGAAACCGGCUUGAAGCCUAGUAUCAGAUUACAAGUGGUCGGAUUCAAACAUAACAACUUCUCUGAACUUAUUUCUCAAGCACUAGAAUUAGAAAGAAUUGAAUCUGAAGCGGCUCUUGAGAAAAAGAAAUCAGAGAAGGCAGAAAAAGAGGGAAAGUCAGCAGAACAGAGUUCUAGUGGUCCUACUGGAAAGAGGAAAAACUUUGGGGGAUACGACAGAGAUAGUAAGAAGUCCGGUAGAGAUAGAUCUUUUGGACAGAAACCACCUCGAUCCGAUCAGCGAACUCAACAGAAACCCAGAAAUGCGCUGUCAGAUCGACUUUGUGAAACUUGUGGUAAACCACAUAGUGGGGUAUGUUAUAGAGCCGUAGGAGCAUGCUUUAAUUGUGGAGAGACUGGUCAUUUUGCUAAGGAUUGUGUAAAUCCAGGUCGUUCUGGAUCAUUUACUACACCAAAGGGAUCAACCCAAGUUUCUACCCCAAAGAGUUCACCAUCAGUUAGUAAAGGCAGAGGUAGAGGUAGGAGUAGUACACCUAGAAGUCAGAGUGCUGUGAAUCAGUCAGAACAGGAUG
RNAcentral lists this unclassified non-coding RNA (709 nucleotides) under Hevea brasiliensis (rubber tree). The record is from RNAcentral. Lineage: Eukaryota; Viridiplantae; Streptophyta; Magnoliopsida; Malpighiales; Euphorbiaceae.